Molecule: ribosomal RNA, 253 nt
Filed under: uncultured bacterium
Lineage: Bacteria
Description: partial 16S ribosomal RNA
Rfam family: Bacterial small subunit ribosomal RNA
Source: RNAcentral
UACGGAGGGGGCUAGCGUUGUUCGGAAUUACUGGGCGUAAAGCGCGCGUAGGCGGACCUGCAAGUCGGGGGUGAAAGCCCGAGGCUCAACCUCGGAACUGCCUUCGAUACUGCGGGUCUCGAGUCCGGGAGAGGUGAGUGGAAUUCCUAGUGUAGAGGUGAAAUCCGUAGAUAUUAGGAAGAACACCAGUGGCGAAGGCGGCUCACUGGCCCGGUACUGACGCUGAGGUGCGAAAGCGUGGGGAGCAAACAGG